Molecule: ribosomal RNA, 209 nt
Filed under: uncultured bacterium
Lineage: Bacteria
Description: partial 16S ribosomal RNA
Rfam family: Bacterial small subunit ribosomal RNA
Source: RNAcentral
UUCGGAUUGUAGUCUGCAACCCGACUACAUGAAGCCGGAAUCGCUAGUAAUCGCAGAUCAGCAUGCUGCGGUGAAUACGUUCCCGGGUCUUGUACACACCGCCCGUCACACCAUGGGAGUCGGAAAUGCCCGAAGUCGGUGACCCAACCGGAAGGAGGGAGCCGCCGAAGGCAGGUCUGAUAACUGGGGUGAAGUCGUAACAAGGUAAC